RNAcentral lists this unclassified non-coding RNA (277 nucleotides) under uncultured fungus. RNAcentral describes it as "partial contains 5.8S ribosomal RNA, internal transcribed spacer 2, and large subunit ribosomal RNA". The stretch from base 1 to 52 matches the Rfam family "5.8S ribosomal RNA", at positions 103 to 154 of the family's 154-position model. Lineage: Eukaryota; Fungi. The record is from RNAcentral.
AACGCACCUUGCGCUCUUUGGUAUUCCAAAGAGUAUGCCUGUUUGAGUGUCAUGAAAUUCUCAAGUCUAUAGAUUUUUUAAAAAUCUGCGUGACCUGGACUUGGAGGUUGUGUCGGCUUUGUCAGUCGACUCCUCUGAAAUGCAUUAGCGCGAACGUUUACGAGUUCAGUGUGAUAAUUAUCUGCGCUGUGAUUGUAACUGUUUCGUGCUUUACCGUCUUUAGAGACAAUUUUUGACAUCUGACCUCAAAUCAGGUAGGACUACCCGCUGAACUUAA